This 253-nucleotide ribosomal RNA is filed under the name uncultured bacterium. RNAcentral's name for it is "partial 16S ribosomal RNA". It matches the Rfam family "Bacterial small subunit ribosomal RNA", at positions 524 to 776 of the family's 1533-position model. The record is from RNAcentral.
UACAGAGGCCUCGAGCGUUAGGCGGAAUCACUGGGCUUAAAGCGUGUGUAGGCGGACUUCUAAGUACCUUGUGAAAUCCCACAGCUUAACUGUGGAACUGCUUGGUAUACUGGUUGUCUUGAGGUACCUAGGGGCGAGCGGAACAAGUGGUGGAGCGGUGAAAUGCGUAGAUAUCACUUGGAACGCCAGCGGUGAAAGCAGCUCGCUGGGGGUAUCCUGACGCUGAGACACGAAAGCCAGGGGAGCAAACGGG